RNAcentral lists this ribosomal RNA (253 nucleotides) under uncultured bacterium. RNAcentral's name for it is "partial 16S ribosomal RNA". It matches the Rfam family "Bacterial small subunit ribosomal RNA", at positions 524 to 776 of the family's 1533-position model. The record is from RNAcentral.
UACGUAGGUGGCAAGCGUUAUCCGGAUUUAUUGGGUGUAAAGGGCGUGUAGGCGGGAGCGCAAGUCAGAUGUGAAAACUCAGGGCUCAACCCUGAGCCUGCAUUUGAAACUGUGUUUCUUGAGUGCUGGAGAGGCACUCGGAAUUCCGUGUGUAGCGGUGAAAUGCGUAGAUAUACGGAGGAACACCAGUGGCGAAGGCGGAUUGCUGGACAGUAACUGACGCUGAGGCGCGAAAGCGUGGGGAGCAAACAGG